UACGUAGGGGGCGAGCGUUGUCCGGAGUUACUGGGCGUAAAGGGCAUGCAGGCGGUCCGACACGUUUUGUGUGACAGCGGGUGGCUUAACUACCCGAGGAUACGAAAGACGGUUGGACUUGAGGACUCGAGAGGGACACGGAAUUCCGGGUGGAGUGGUGAAAUGCGUAGAGAUCCGGAGGAACACCGAAGGCGAAGGCAGUGUCCUGGCGAGUGACUGACGCUGAGGUGCGAAAGCCAGGGGAGCGAGCGGG
This 253-nucleotide ribosomal RNA is filed under the name uncultured bacterium. Its description in RNAcentral is "partial 16S ribosomal RNA". It matches the Rfam family "Bacterial small subunit ribosomal RNA", at positions 524 to 776 of the family's 1533-position model. The record is from RNAcentral.